CCUGAGAGAGGAAAAUGUUAACAUUACCUUACACGGAAUGUUUAGAAGAAAUCCCCUUCCACCCCUGCCCCCGGUGCCAAACUUGGAAGAAUGACUUCAUGGAUGGAAAAGGAUUGACAAACAAGCUCCAGUGACACUGUUUUAUGUUGUCUAUCUACCUAGAAACCAUACCUGCCAAAGAACACAACUACAUUCACUGAGUGUCACGAACUUAACUCAUAUCACAGGAAGAGAGACUAAAGUCUGUCAACACAUCUGGACAGGGUUUUCUCACAAUUAUUUUCUCUGCUGGCCCAAUAGACUUUGUACCAGGCUGUUGUGUGUUCUUCAAACCCUUUGAAUCCUCCUAAAAAUAAUUUACUAGCCCUCAAAUUGUCACAUUUUAUGCAUCUCUCUUUCCCCAAUGAAUAAUGGUAUAUAACAUCUGUACACCAUUUGGUUAUUGGGAAAUCAUUCUCCUCUAAUUCCUCGAUGCUAUGCUAAAAUACAAUUUCGUAUGUCUUUUCUGCCACUAAUCUACCUUUCGUCAGUUGAUGUUUCAGUAGAUUUUUAGAGGGUAAAAGCUGAGUUUUAUCUUCACCCCUUCAGUUUUGGCACGAUGAGCAAGGAUAACUCAAAACCACUCUGCUCUCCUGGAA
Pan paniscus (pygmy chimpanzee) is the source of this 638-nucleotide long non-coding RNA. Lineage: Eukaryota; Metazoa; Chordata; Mammalia; Primates; Hominidae. The record is from Ensembl.